GAGCCCGACGCGGGGCUCGAACUCACGGACCGCGAGAUCGUGACCUGGCUGAAGUCGGACGCUUAACCGACUGCGCCACCCAGGCGCCCCAACUUUCAAAAACAAACAAGAAGUGUUUUCCGUGAGACACAAACCGGAAACAUGUUUCUUUGAGGAAAUGAGGUUUCUGUUCCUAGUGUGUGUAAUUCAUACUUUAUGUAAAUGACAUUUAAUCACGCAGCAAGUGUCUUUCCUCUUUAGCUUAAACACUGACGAUCAAUAGACACGGUUUCCGUGUUGGAGUAAUUACUGAGAUUCCUCACGCGUUCCCUGUGUCCUUUCGACGUUCCGAUGUGAACCGAGUGCCUCUCUGCUCUCCCUUAGAUCCCCUUUCCCAACCCGGUUUAUUAAAACCCAUUUCUCAUGUUUUCAUUGUACCGUGAGUGAGAAGUCAUUCUCGGCACGUUAAUUUACGGGCAGACGCAUGAGUUGCAGGUAGGUAUCAGGACUGGAAAAUAAAGCCGUUUACAAAUAAUUAUCCUUUGGGGGGGACCUGAAGGCAGUAAAUCUGAAAUCUGGUGAACCUGAAUCCUGGAUUUUGCUGGAGUAAGGGCUAUUUCAGAGGCACUUCAGCUCCAUUAAAAUAAAAACUAGAAAAAAAAAAAAAGAAAAGAAAAGAAGGCAAGUGUUGCCUUAAGAAGAUUACUGGUCUCUUUCACUUACCUUUCCGUUUUUCCCCUGUUGAAUCACUUUGCGUUUAGGACUAAAACCAAACCGAUUUAAACCCAUACCUGAAACAUCAGCGAGCUUCAGGACAUAAGGACAAGGAGGGCCGUAUCUUUCGUUUUCAGAAUUUCAGCAUCCAAACCUGCUCCUUCUACCUCAGUGCCAGCUGUCCAGGUCCUUCCUACCUUGUCACGAGCACAUGGAAGACAGGGCUAGUGGUUCAUCCAAUGCCUGCUCCCUUUUCUUCCUCGCGAGCAGAACCCCAAACCUGUGUGAUCUGAGUAAUGUGACACCUCGCACGGAUCCAUCAUAGGCAUGUGAACACCCGUCGCCGAUUUAGGGAUGGGUUUAGGGAUGGGCACAUGACACAAUUUUCGCCGUUGUUCACAUGGCUGGGGAGGGGUGUUCUAUUUUUCAUUAGAAAAACAGGCAAGAACAGUUGGCUGCCCUCCUGCCAUCAUAAGGACUCAGUCACGCUGAGAGAGCGGCCAACGUAGGCAAGGUCGGAGCCAAGAAACAGAGCUCCCAGGUCCUGAAGAGAUUUUUGAGCCCCCAAAUCAGGCUGGGUUAGGAGCCAGCUCAGUCUUCAACAUUUUCAAAUAUUUGAGUCAGUUAAUCUCUUUUUCUUUCCUAAGUCUGUUUGAAUUAGAUUUUCUGGGACUGACGGUCAAAAGGGUACUACCUCUCAUGGUAGUAGUAGUAUACUGUCCCCAAUGAAACGAUGUGGGAUCUGAGCUCCAGGAUGAUGUAAUUUCCCCAACGCACCCAGUUUUGAACUCAGGUCAAUAUGCCUCCAAGGCUGGUCAGUAUUGCCACUGAGAAAUCACUUACCUAUUUCUGUCCACGCCGGUCAUGUCCAAAGGUGGGAGCCAAGCUUCACCAUCUUGGUAUUGAAUCUGAAUCUGCGAUUCUCUUGGGACGCAGGCUAAAAACACUGGUUGAAUCCGGGCAAGAAGAAAAGGAACAUUUCCUCGAGCAGAUUAAUUUUUGGACUUGGUAUUUAUAAUUAGCUAUUUUGGAGUUAGUUACAGCAACCUCUGUGGGUUAUUUAUUUGAUCGCCCAUGACUGAAGAAAAACAGCUUUGAUUUGGUUUCCCAGUGACCCAGAUGAACUGCAUCGUUAGGCAGUUGGUAGAGGUCUUCCUAAUUACAAGAAAUAAAAAGAAAAAUCUGAACACUCCUUCUUCCCCCUCCAACAUUCUUUGCAAAACAGGCCUAACUAGGCCCUGGACUAGUUCACGAAAAUGUGUCACUAACAAAAUAUCGAAGAGGCAGAACAGCCUGAUGGAAAAAGUUUUAUUGAGUGCUUCGGUGACAAAAAUAUCUUCAAAGGGAGUUCUAUCAAUUUUAUUAGCUACAUUGUGCACUUUUCCAUGACGAGCAUAUCAAGCACAAUAGCAUUUGAAUUAGCAAUCAAGUUUUAAUAGUAUUUGACACUUCCCCACCUUGUACUGGCAGAAACUGUCUCUCUGAGGAGAGAUGCCAUGAGAGGAAACAUCAGCCUGCGGCAGAGAAAUGGGGUGGCGUCCGAAAGCUCGUUUGUGAAUUUGUCGGUUGUUGCUCAGGACACAUCUUCCCAUGAUGGCGAGACGCAAAGGGCUACGUAUCGCAGGAUUCUGUUGAUAUUAAAUGGCUGGAACGGGCAAACCUGUAGAGACCAAAAGUAGAUCAUUGGUCGCCAGGGGCUGGGGCUUGCAAGAAUGGGGAGGGGUGUGACUGCUAAUGCGUGGGGGUUUGUUUUUAGGGGUGAUGAAGAUAUUCUGAAGUUUGACAGCGGUGAUGAUUGCACAACUCUGCGAAUGUACUCAAAAUCACUGGAUUGUAUACUUUGAAAUGGUGAAUUUUAUGGUGUGUGAAUUAUAAUAAAGUUGUUAUUUAAGGAAAGGCAAA
This is a long non-coding RNA of Felis catus (domestic cat), 2595 nucleotides long. RefSeq lists it as uncharacterized. NCBI's taxonomy places the organism in Eukaryota, Metazoa, Chordata, Mammalia, Carnivora, Felidae. The record is from RefSeq and is a predicted model, not a curated record. The transcript is spliced from 2 exons.